This 463-nucleotide long non-coding RNA is filed under the name Heterocephalus glaber (naked mole-rat). RNAcentral's name for it is "lncRNA (ENSHGLG00100051024.1)". Lineage: Eukaryota; Metazoa; Chordata; Mammalia; Rodentia; Bathyergidae. The record is from RNAcentral.
GGGGGGGCUCAGGGUAAAGACCCUCCAGGGAAGGUGUCCUGCUUCUGGCUACUAUCCCGUGUCUGGUCAUGGGAACCUUACCCUGUGAGUUUACCAGGAGCCUGACAGCAAGAUCAGUUUCUGCAGUGUGAUGGCCCAAGCACAGACCUGAUCUGGGAACGCAAAACUCCAGUUGCAGGAAACAUCCACAGAGAAUGAGUCUAGGCACCCACCUGUGCACCUGAGCUCCUCCAGCCAAGGGAGGAGCCAGAAGCAGCCACAGCAAGAUAUUGCUGGAUCCCAGCUUUGUUCCUCCGCUGCCCAGGAGUCUCAGGCACAGCUCAGCUGGCAGGAAAGGCCGACUCCUUCCCUGCUUCCCGCUCUGCCUCUGCCAGGCUCUGGGUAGGAGAAAAAAUGCCAGCUCUUUCUUGAGAGGCAGAGUUUCCAUCCCCCAUUUUCACAACCAAUUACACGGAGGCAGAGU